GAUUAUUCAGCAACGUUCAAAUAAUCUUUUCCAGAUUUUAAUUUCAACAAUCGAUUAUACAAAAUCAAUAAUCGAUUAUUCAGCAACGUUUAAAAAAUCUUUUCCAGAUUAUAAUUUCAACAAUCGAUUAUAGAAUAUCAACAAUCGAUUACCUGACGGUAUUUGAAAAUCAUUUGGCAACGGUUAGUUAUACAAUCGAUUAUACUAAGUUAACAAUCGAUUAUAUAUCAGU
Molecule: long non-coding RNA, 232 nt
Filed under: Nicotiana benthamiana
Lineage: Eukaryota; Viridiplantae; Streptophyta; Magnoliopsida; Solanales; Solanaceae
Description: long non-coding RNA (NBEN_LNC028408)
Source: RNAcentral